RNAcentral lists this ribosomal RNA (398 nucleotides) under uncultured bacterium. RNAcentral describes it as "partial 16S ribosomal RNA". It matches the Rfam family "Bacterial small subunit ribosomal RNA", at positions 355 to 745 of the family's 1533-position model. The record is from RNAcentral.
UGGGGAAUAUUGGACAAUGGGCGAAAGCCUGAUCCAGCCAUGCCGCGUGUGUGAAGAAGGUCUUCGGAUUGUAAAGCACUUUAAGUUGGGAGGAAGGGCAUUAACCUAAUACGUUAGUGUUUUGACGUUACCGACAGAAUAAGCACCGGCUAACUCUGUGCCAGCAGCCGCGGUAAUACAGAGGGUGCAAGCGUUAAUCGGAAUUACUGGGCGUAAAGCGCGCGUAGGUGGUUUGUUAAGUUGGAUGUGAAAUCCCCGGGCUCAACCUGGGAACUGCAUUUAAAACUGACUGACUAGAGUAUGGUAGAGGGUGGUGGAAUUUCCUGUGUAACGGUGAAAUGCGUAGAUAUAGGAAGGAACACCAGUGGCGAAGGCGACCACCUGGGCUAAUACUGACA